UCGGAAAUACUAUAAUUUUAGCCUUUGAUGCAUACCCUAUUAUUCGUUGAACCUCUCAUUGAACCGUGCCCUACUGUGUGAAAUUUAUAACCAUUUACAAAAUACCCUAGGUAUGUCGUAACAGUAGUCAAAUGCCCUUUUGUAAAAUCCUUGAGGAAAUUAUUAUGAAUAUUACUUGAUGGAUCGUGUGCCUGAAAGAUUAAAAUUAUAUUCAAUGAAUGUAUUACAAAACAUUCACUUUAUUGACAAAGACUACUAGAAGAAGAAGACUCAUGUAUGCUUUAAAUCAUAUAGAGAAGUCCAUUUUAAGUUUUUCAUCCACUUCUUCAUCCGUAAUUUUUGGAUUGUGUUGUCUUAAUAUAUCCAUGUAAAUGCUAUAAAGUGUACUGUUAGAUGACGUUAUUAAGAAAAUUUAUGUUAGUUAUUAGUUCUUUCAUAAAAAGAGGUUACUAAUCUCACAAAUGGAUCUACUUCUUCGCAAUUAAGGAAAAUGUAUGAUUGAGCAGCUUUUUAUUCU
This 517-nucleotide long non-coding RNA is filed under the name Ricinus communis (castor bean). Its description in RNAcentral is "long non-coding RNA (RCOM_LNC001780)". The record is from RNAcentral. Lineage: Eukaryota; Viridiplantae; Streptophyta; Magnoliopsida; Malpighiales; Euphorbiaceae.